Molecule: long non-coding RNA, 2596 nt
Organism: Meriones unguiculatus (Mongolian gerbil)
Lineage: Eukaryota; Metazoa; Chordata; Mammalia; Rodentia; Muridae
Exons: 8
Source: RefSeq, a predicted model, not a curated record
GCUUGCUGGGGAAAGUGUGUCACUGUGGGAGCAGGCUUUGAGGUCUCCUCGGCUCAAGCUAUGCCCAGUAUGGCGCACAGCCGUGGGAUCAGGAGACAGAGCUCUCAGGUCCUUCUCCAGCACCAGCCUGCACACUGCUACAUUUGCUGCCUGAUGAUCAAAUGGAUGAACCUCUGAAACUGGAAGAGUUGCCUCGGUCACAGUCUCUUCACAGCAAUAGAAACCCUAACUAAGUCCCUUCUCUAAGGGCCUCAUGAAACAUGUGGACAAGGACAGCUGGUACAGAAGGACGCUGGGGUUCUGAUGCUGGCCCUCAAGACCUGGAUAUACCUGUACUUGUAUAAACCUGCCUAACACAUGAUACCUGAUCGGUUGAUUAAAUGGACUACACCUCGGCAGGGCAGAAUGGGGUGGGGAUAUGAAAUGAGGACGACAGGUCAUUCAGCAAGAAAGGUCACAUGACUAGGAGGAUCAACUGUUCACAACAGCCCUGGAGAAGAGCGUCAAGUGUUGACUCUUUGGCGACGAGAACAUCCUGAGGGCUAAGACCAGCAUGCCCCUGGCUUCCUUGAGAUUUGCUCUUAUCUACGUGUGUGGCUCUCACCAUGAGGUGCUGCAGCCCCCAACCUGACAGCCCCAGCCUGAUACCUGAUCAUGGCCUGAAGCCUUGAGCCCAGACGAACCUUUCUACUUGGAAGUAGUUGGUCAUCCCGGGUAAUUUUUAUAGCAAAAAUGGAGCCGACUAAAGAACAUCACUGAAAUUGCGCUUAACAUUCGAUAUAUUAGAUUCCGUGAUCCAUAGUGUUGUGAAGACGCACUCCAGGCACAUGUAUUGUAAGGACACUAAAGCUAUGCACGGGCUUGAGAGAAACAAUUCUCUAUCACAUAAUUCUUGAUGGCAGCCUGGAGGAAAUAAGAGGUGUUGACAGCCACAUGCCUGGCAUCCAGCAAUCUGGCAUCUGUGUUUUCUAUGGUGAGCUGGGAAAGUUUCCAGGAUGUUCUCGAGCGGACUUCUGAGGAGACUUUUUAGACUCUACAAGCCAAUCAGAGGAGAAGCCCGUGUGGCCAGGCUCCUCUCAGCAGCCACACGUACUUCUGGGCGGGGGUCGGCUGUUGCCCUUCUUGAGAUGUCAUCCGUUCAGAAACAACCUGCUGUGCACUAACCUGUGUUUGUGAAGCAACGAGCACCGCCUCCCUGGUUCUCCGCAUCACUGCAUCUUUAGUAAGAAAUGAAAUUUACCAAAAGCCAACGACAGAAACGGGAAAACAAAAUGGGAGGACUUUCCAAAACAAACCAAUUUCAGAAGAAAUAACGAACUUCAAAUAGGCUUCUGAGCCCUCAAUAACUAAUGCGCGCCCACAUUGGCCUGUGGUCCUCAGAGCCAGUUUAUCUAAAGGUCCAGUCCUGGGACUCCGUGUCAGAUCUUCUAAAUCCCUCUGAACAGGAAAACAGCACAGGAUGGUAAAAACAGUGCCAGGAGAGUCACAUUCAUAAUAAUAAUAAAAGUCCUCACCAACUCCAGAAUUUGGCACACAGCUGAGACACUGUUUAUUGAGGCAAUGCAAACUCAGGAUGAGGGCAGAUACUUUGCAGUUUUUAGAACAAAACACUGAGCCUUUGAUGUUGGCAUAGUGACUUCUUUCUUUGGGGUGAAUCGUGGGCGGGCUCUGUUUUGUUUGUUUGUUUAUUUUUCUGCGAGGGUUUUCUGCUUCAGAGUAACAUGACAACAGAAGUCUGUGUUAUUGGAAGAGUUUUGGCUCUUUGUGCCCAAAGCAUUAGACUACUGAGUAUAUCAUUACAUGAAUUUGAAAGUGACUUGGACCUUUUCUUAAGGAACUCUCCAGAUGUGUUUCUGUCUUCUUGAGGCCUGACAUUCCUGUCUCUGCUGGUAUUAAGCUGAAGCCACAGGCAUGCAGAAGUUGCCAGUCAGCCAAGAAAUUCCAAGGUUGAACAAGACAUGGAUGGCACCGCCUGCACUGGAUAUUAAGCUCGGCCUGUGAGUGUGGUGGCUGUGUAACCUUCCCACUGACCCACAACACCUUUGUUGAAAGGUGGGAGGCGGCAGAUGUGAAAGUCGGCAGAGCACGCUCACAUCGCUUGGGUACCGCGCUUCAGAACUAAUACUGAGGAGGAAAGGGGCGAGAAUGAAUGGAAACUGUAGGCCCCAUCCCAUCACCGCAGCCACAAACACAGACGUCAGAUACUCACAAGGCAAUUCCUCAGUUUCAAGAUGGAACAACAUGAAGAGCAUGUUAAACAAUUCGCUAUUCCUGGAGGACUAGGAACUGGUAGAGGCUUUAGGCUGAGCAGAGGGAACUGUUUAGCAGAAACUUCACAGAUCUGAUUUACGUUUUAUGAGGAAUUAAGUUACAGUUGGUUUUUUUUUUUUUUUUUCCUUUUAAAAACUAUGGACCAUUAAAACCAACCAGUCAGCCAAAAAUGUAUUUGGGAUUUAACAUUUUCAUUUGGAAAAACAUUUUCACAAGUGACAUAUGCCAGGCACUAAAAGGCCGUGAAACUAUUUUAACAAUAUGAUGGGGCCUACCUUCAAACCAAAGCAAGGUUCAGAAUAACACUGGCUAAGAUCAAGGCUAA